This 2082-nucleotide long non-coding RNA is filed under the name Bemisia tabaci. Its description in RNAcentral is "lncRNA ENSSSA3NGG008646". Lineage: Eukaryota; Metazoa; Arthropoda; Insecta; Hemiptera; Aleyrodidae. The record is from RNAcentral.
AAAGCACAGGUUCCGAGGCACCCAUUCUCUUCCUAUAGGAAUCCCAGUAACUUCUGAUGAUCGAUUCGUUGAGUCGCUUCAUCGGGUGCAAUGAAAUUUGAUGACGCGCUUUCAAUCAGCUACGAGAACCUAUUCAAGCAGGGCGUCGGCAAGAAGACGUCGUUAAAGAGUGAAAUAAAAUGGGUAUCAUUGAGGAGAACAAACGUAUUUACAAGGAUAUCUUUGGUAGAAACUCGUGCUUACCAAAGAAUUUAAUGGGUAUACGUUGUUUUACAAUAUAUUCAUUUUUCGUAGGUUCGCUCUGUUUAAAGAAGUGUCAAUUAUUCUCGAGAAUGACGCGCCCGGUAAGGAAUGGGAUUGGAUCAGUUUUGGUGACAUUUUGGAAGUGUCAUUUCAUUGCCGAAACGACUCAAGAUGAGAUCGUAUGUGUUCCUCGCUGGCCUUUUGGUGCUUUGCGCAGCCGCCUGCAAAGCUGCUGGUGACUAUGGGCAGAAGCCAACGAAGCCGAAUGUGGGGCCGUCGUUCAAGCUGUUGGUGGCGUCGCUCAACACCCUGGAGAAGUACCGGACGAUGCCCGGUCUGAGCGGGGCGGAGAAGGCGAGGCGGGACGAGACGGUGGCUAAGCUGGUGGAGCUCCACGUGAAGGAGCUGACGGAGCUGGUGCCCAACUGGGAGGCGCUUUUCAAGGCCGAGGAGAGAUCUGGGGACGGCACUCAGACGAGGUUCAUCGAGUUCAUCAUCCCCGUCAUCCAGGCCGUUGCUUCCGGGAUCGGCAUCUUCUACAAGGCCAUCCCCGCCAUCAUCUCCGGGGUCACCAUGGUCUGCCAGCUUCUCUACCCCUGAGCCCCGCCAAACUGUCGACACUCUUCAAAGUAUUCCUCCCGGACUAUAUCUUCAGAGGUGAACCACGAGACAGUAAACAGUUAAGCAUCAUAGAGCAUAAUUUCUCAUCAAAUUUUCACGCAGAACUAUAGAUUGCCGUGCUAAAGAAAAACGCCGUAUGAACCUUCAGGCGUUGCCAGAUUUCCUUUGAUGAAACACUUUCCUGGUAAACUUCCAUUUUCCUCUUAAUUUUUCAGAUAAUAUUGUUCGCAAUUUCACAUAAAGAUUCUGUAAAAUUAAAGGAAAAAUAUGCACAACUUUUCUCAAAAAUAAUCAUUUUUUUAAAAAUAAAUUUGGCAACUCUCAAAUGUUCAUACGGCGUUCUUCCUUAGCACGGCAGUAAGUGGCGUGGCAGUAAAGGGCGUAUAGCAGCGAGUCUCUAAAAUAUAUUGUCUCUGAUCGGGUUCUUUCGGCCACACGUGCCUUGGUAAAUUUUACCGACUUCCUAUUUUUUGGGGUUUUUUUUCUUCUUUUUUUCCCCUUCUUCAAGGAACCUUCCAAGGAGAAAAUGGAGUCUAUUAAGCUACUUUGUAGAAAUGGUGAAAACUCUAGAGUCCUACAGAUGGGUUCCUGGUCUCCAGCGAGCUGAGCGAGCGCGACGUCACGAACUUGCGGCGAAGACUGUCGGAAUCUUGCUCAAGGAGGUCUCGGUGCUCAUGUCUGAUGGGAGAGAGAAGUUCUUGCAAGAUGAGACGCAGAAACUGAAAAAAGGCGGAGCCCGAUCGAGGCUCCUCGAUCUUCUCAUCCCCAUCGGACAGGGCGUUGUAGCGGUCACGAGUGAUGCCAUACCCCACCUCAUCACCUUCUUCGUGGCGUUAUGAAAUUACAUCGACGUUUGACUCUCUCUCCAAAGCUAUUCUUAUCAUUAUAAAUUUAUUGUUUUCCAAAGAUGAAUCUUCAUUUGAUGACACAGAUAGUCACCAGGUGCUGAUUGCCACACCAAGAACUCCGCAACUUUAUUCCAAUUUUAUUAGUUUUCGAUCACUGUUCCAACAAUUGCCACAAGGCUUUAUUUGCUCAUUUUUAGUUCCUAAUAGUAUGCCAGAGUUUACGUGAGAAAUAAAGGAUGAAUUUUUGUCAGUUUUCUUGUCAAACAUCAUUUUUUAGGGAAAAAAUUAAAGCUUUUUAAAUAGAGAACCAUCUUUUUUACUUUCGGGCGGCAAAUUUUGGUUCAAUGAGCUAGGGGCAGUACAAGUAUUA